Molecule: ribosomal RNA, 253 nt
Filed under: uncultured bacterium
Lineage: Bacteria
Description: partial 16S ribosomal RNA
Rfam family: Bacterial small subunit ribosomal RNA
Source: RNAcentral
UACGGAGGUUCCAAGCGUUGUUCGGAAUUACUGGGCGUAAAGGGAGCGCAGGCGGAUAGGUCAGUUUAAAGUGGAAUCCCAGGGCUCAACCCUGGACGUGCUUUGGAUACUGCCUAUCUUGAGUUCGUGAGAGGAAAGUGGAAUUCAGGGUGUAGCGGUGAAAUGCUUAGAUAUCCUGAGGAACACCAGUGGCGAAAGCGACUUUCUGGCACGAAACUGACGCUGAGGCUCGAAAGCGUGGGUAGCGAACGGG